Gorilla gorilla gorilla (western lowland gorilla) is the source of this 107-nucleotide small nuclear RNA. The record is from Ensembl. NCBI's taxonomy places the organism in Eukaryota, Metazoa, Chordata, Mammalia, Primates, Hominidae.
GUGCUUGCUUCAGCAGCACAUACACUAAAAUUGGAAUGAUACAGAGAAGAUUAGCAUGGGCCCUGCAUGAGGAUGAUGUGCAAAUUCGUGAAGUGUUCCAUAGUUUU